UUCAACGGCCGCGGUAUACUGACCGUGCAAAGGUAGCGUAAUCACUUGUCUUUUAAUUGGAGACUAGUAUGAAUGGCAUCACGAGAACUAAUCUGUCUCCCUCCCCUAAUCAGUGAAACUGAUCUCCCCGUGCAGAAGCGGGGAUAACAUCAUAAGACGAGAAGACCCUGUGGAGCUUCAAAUCAAUAACCAACUGCUUCACCCACCCUAACCUAAAGGAUACACUCACGCAAACUUGAUUUAGAUUUUCAGCUGGGGCGUCUAUGGAGAAAAAAAAAUCCUCCAUGAAUAUUUAUGCCGAGAGCUACCGCCACAGGCAUUAAUAAACUUAAUUUUAAUUGACCCAAUUUUUGAUCAACGGACCAAGUUACCCCAGGGAUAACAGCGCAAUCCACUUAAAGAGUCCUUAUCGACAAGUGGGCUUACGACCUCGAUGUUGGAUCAGGGCAUCCAAGUGGUGCAGCCGCUACUAAAGGUUCGUUUGUUCAACGAUUAAAG
Molecule: ribosomal RNA, 498 nt
Filed under: Leptobrachella ventripunctata (speckle-bellied metacarpal-tubercled toad)
Lineage: Eukaryota; Metazoa; Chordata; Amphibia; Anura; Megophryidae
Description: partial 16S ribosomal RNA
Rfam family: Bacterial large subunit ribosomal RNA
Source: RNAcentral